ACAACUGGUGCGGGAGAGACCGUACAUGCUCGAGGUUGAGGGACCACGGGCACCGGCGCCGAAGGAGCAAACCCUCCCCGGGAAACUCUCAGGCACAUGUACCGCUCAGUGAGG
Molecule: regulatory RNA element, 114 nt
Organism: Rothia nasimurium
Lineage: Bacteria; Bacillati; Actinomycetota; Actinomycetes; Micrococcales; Micrococcaceae
Rfam family: Glycine riboswitch aptamer
About the family: This family represents the bacterial glycine riboswitch. Glycine riboswitches usually consist of two metabolite-binding aptamers domains with similar structures in tandem. The aptamers cooperatively bind glycine to regulate the expression of downstream genes.
Source: Rfam